This 1463-nucleotide long non-coding RNA is filed under the name Felis catus (domestic cat). RNAcentral describes it as "lncRNA (ENSFCAG00000049496.1)". The record is from RNAcentral. Lineage: Eukaryota; Metazoa; Chordata; Mammalia; Carnivora; Felidae.
AUGCUGACCCUACCCAACAUGGUGGGCCCCUUGGGAGUUCUUAAACAGAGGUAUGCAUAUGUCUGUGUGUGUGCACAUGCGCGCGCGCAUAUCUGUUGGGAGGGAGUUCAGCCUGGGUUACUUUCCCAAACACUGGUGUCAAAGCUUCCUGACUGCCCAAAGGGAUGGACUAGAACUCUCCCUCACCUCCAUGCCUUUACAAAUGCUGUUUCCUUUACUCGAAAUUACCAUCUUCCUGCCUCCCCACGCUGCAUCUGCAAAAGUGCCGUUUGCUCUGGGAUAGUGUCCUCAAGAGCCUCACCUCCAGGCAGAAUUGGACACUCCCUCCCAAGCCCCUCCCUGUUGAAGCAUAAGUCACCUGACAAGUCAUCUGCUUUCUUGCCCAUCCCCUCCACUCUCUCUAGACUGAGCUUUCCAUAUGCGCCUGACACAGUUCUGAUUCUAGAAGAUCUCCCCUGCAUGGCCCUUGUGAAGGAAGGAACACACAUGUCAAAGAGGGAAGCAGCAGCAACGACUCAGGCCAGAGACACGGAAGGCCAAGCUGUAUGGUUCCACCACCAAUUUUCCAAGGCCUCACAGAAAGGUGUGCCAAUACUUGCUGCAGACCGAAGUCCAGGAAAGAAAUUUACAACCCUUGUGUCUGAAUGUUCUCACUUCUCUCCCCCUCUCCUCCCUCCCCUCUUCAUUUCCCCUCUCCCUUUCCCUCUCCUUCCUCCUACAGCUGGGUGGGCCCAGAGAAGUGGAUGCUAUCCAUUUCCUUUAUCUAAGAUCUUCCGCCUUUCUGACUCCAGCCUCAUGCGUAAGCUCUGGGGACAGGCAUAGGAACCCUCCCAAGGCCAGAGCUUUCUUGUGGGUAUGCCUCCAAUGGGCCACAGCUAUGCAGCAAUGUGGGCUGGUCACUCCUGUGGAAGAACCUCACUUACAUCUCCUUGGAAGGUGGCCCUCUCAAGCGGGCCCCCUCUGGCAGCAAGGACAAUAAUCUUCCCCCAGCAGCCAGCUGUGCUGCUUCCCAUUGUGGACAAAGGCGUGUGUGUUCUGUGUGCCCAGGGAGCACAGAGCACGGGCCACAAGGGGUUAAGCAGGGCAAGGAGAGCAGGAGGGAGCUCCUGGUGGACACAGCAUCAGAUGGCAGCCCUGAAUCGCUCCCUUCCUGCACAUGUACAGAACCAUUUAAUCUAUUGUCCAAAUCAGUACAUUUUCUUCUUUUCAGAUCAACUUUAAUAGAGUAAAAUGUAGCCAUUUUAAAUGUAUGGUACUAUGAGUGACUGAUCUACCAGUGUAACUACUGCUACAACCAAGAUAGAAAGCCUUGCCAUUACCCCCCAAAGUUACUAUGUACCCUUUUGUAGUCACCCCCCACCCUUAGUCCCACUGCUCUCCCAGACAACUACUCAUCUGCUUUCCAUAACUACAAAUUAGUUGUGUCUGUUCUAGAAUUUCAAAUAAAUGAAAUCAAUCACACA